RNAcentral lists this small RNA (520 nucleotides) under uncultured Glomus. Its description in RNAcentral is "SSU rRNA". It matches the Rfam family "Eukaryotic small subunit ribosomal RNA", at positions 569 to 1088 of the family's 1831-position model. Lineage: Eukaryota; Fungi; Glomeromycota; Glomeromycetes; Glomerales; Glomeraceae. The record is from RNAcentral.
AGCAGCCGCGGUAAUUCCAGCUCCAAUAGCGUAUAUUAAAGUUGUUGCAGUUAAAAAGCUCGUAGUUGAAUUUCGGGGUUAGUAGGCUGGUCAUGCCUCUGGUAUGUACUGGUCUCACUGAUUCCUCCUUCCUGAUGAACCUUAAUGCCAUUAAUUUGGUGUUUUGGGGAAUUUGGACUGUUACUUUGAAAAAAUUUAGAGUGUUUAAAGCAAGCUAACGCUUGAAUACAUUAGCAUGGAAUAAUGAAAUAGGACGUUCGAUCCUAUUUUGUUGGUUUCUAGGAUUGACGUAAUGAUUAAUAGGGAUAGUUGGGGGCAUUAGUAUUCAAUUGUCAGAGGUGAAAUUCUUGGAUUUAUUGAAGACUAACUACUGCGAAAGCAUUUGCCAAGGAUGUUUUCAUUAAUCAAGAACGAAAGUUAGGGGAUCGAAGACGAUCAGAUACCGUCGUAGUCUUAACCAUAAACUAUGCCGACUAGGGAUCGGAUGAUGUUAAUUUUUUUAAUGACUCAUUCGGCGCCU